Molecule: long non-coding RNA, 212 nt
Filed under: Nicotiana benthamiana
Lineage: Eukaryota; Viridiplantae; Streptophyta; Magnoliopsida; Solanales; Solanaceae
Description: long non-coding RNA (NBEN_LNC002303)
Source: RNAcentral
ACCUUUUAACAGCACACCAGACUAUUUGUUUUAGACACCAUACAAAAAGUAGAUAUAGCAAACAGGGAUAGUCCAUAUCAAGCCCAUAGCAAUUAGAAUGGUUGACAUUGUGAAUAACGAAACCAAAAGAAACACUAGUAAUUAAGGUAUCAAAAUGCAGGUAACAUUGAUAUCAGUUGACAUUGUACAGGGAAGAGAAGAAACAGACCUCA